This 771-nucleotide long non-coding RNA is filed under the name Zea mays. RNAcentral describes it as "long non-coding RNA (ZMAY_LNC003280)". The record is from RNAcentral. Lineage: Eukaryota; Viridiplantae; Streptophyta; Magnoliopsida; Poales; Poaceae.
AAGUGGUAUGAUCUAUUCUAGGCCGAUGGAUCUGAUAUCUACGGCUAUGAUUAGAUCUACAUCAAAACGAAGCGGUAUGCAACAGAGUCCGUCAUUAGAGAUCAAUGGCCCAAAACAGUUCGUGAACCAGUAUGCGCUCUGGUCCACCAGAUCCUGAUCUAACGGCACCGAUUCAACGAGCGAAGGGGUACGUGAUGUUAUGAUCUCGAUCGUUCGUUACAAGAUCAAUGGUUGGCGCCUUUCUUCUCAACUCCGACCACCCAGGCGGUGGUACAAGUGGUUCGCACGGCUGCGCUCACGCUGGAGUCAGGCGAUCCGAUCCCCUGGUGAUCCAAAUCGUGUUCCACAUGGUACGCGAAGUGCAGGUCAAGGCGAAUCAAUUAGGCCCUGUUCGUUUGUAUCGGAUUACACCCGGAAUCGUUCCGUCUAAACAAAGUUUAUAUAAAUUAGAGAAGCAAUCCGGUUAGGAAUUAUUCCGACCCAUCAAUCCGAUGGAAACGAACAAGGCCUUAAGAAGAUCCUUACCGAGUAUGACGGCACGAGGAAUCGUGUUGACGCGAUGAUGUGGCUCGACGGUGAAAGAUCUUCGAUGAGCAAUUGGAGCAACUCUGUGGCUCCCCCAUGCUUGUCGAUGCUUCGGCCAACAUGCACCCGAUCUAGCGCACACCCUGAAUAGUUCUCCGAGGAACAGGCGACGAUGUGUCGCAGGCCCGAUGACGGCAGCCAUGGCGGCCUGCGACGGCAACUCUCCCGAUCUCUCUCUCUACUUUG